This 240-nucleotide unclassified non-coding RNA is filed under the name soil metagenome. Its description in RNAcentral is "partial contains 5.8S ribosomal RNA, internal transcribed spacer 2, and large subunit ribosomal RNA". The record is from RNAcentral.
AACUGAUACUACCUGCGGGAACCUGCGGAGGGAUCAUUACAUGGCGGAGGAGGUGGGCACCUAGUAAAAACAAAACCCUAGGUGUGUUGCCUACCACGCUUUCUACCCUUGUCUAUUUGCACCUUUUGUCGUUCCCUCGGUGGGUCUUGAACCUGCCGGCGGCAACUUUCAAAAACCUUUUGUAGUUAGUAUCUAAUUCUUCUGAUCAAAUAUUCAAUCGUUACAACUUUUAACAAUGGA